This 427-nucleotide ribosomal RNA is filed under the name uncultured bacterium. RNAcentral's name for it is "bacterial SSU rRNA". It matches the Rfam family "Bacterial small subunit ribosomal RNA", at positions 28 to 466 of the family's 1533-position model. The record is from RNAcentral.
GAUGAACGCUAGCGGCAGGCUUAAUACAUGCAAGUCAAGGGGGUAGCAAUACAACCGGCGCACGGGUGAGUAACGCGUACACAACAUACCAUAUACUGGGGUAUAGCUUUGGGAAACUGAAGGUAAUCCCCCAUAACAUUGCGAGAGGGCAUCUGAUUGCAAUUAAAGUUUCGACGGUAUAUGAUUGGUGUGCGUUUGAUUAGCUUGUUGGUAGGGUAACGGCCUACCAAGGCGACGAUCAAUAGCUGGCGUGAGAGCGCGACCAGCCACACUGGAACUGAGACACGGUCCAGACUCCUACGGGAGGCAGCAGUAGGGAAUAUUGGACAAUGGGCGAAAGCCUGAUCCAGCCAUGCCGCGUGAUAGAUGAAGGCCCUCUGGGUUGUAAAUAUCUUUUAUCUGGGAAGAAACCCCUCGUUUCUACGAG